Tupaia belangeri chinensis (Chinese tree shrew) is the source of this 867-nucleotide long non-coding RNA. RefSeq lists it as uncharacterized. The transcript has 3 exons. Lineage: Eukaryota; Metazoa; Chordata; Mammalia; Scandentia; Tupaiidae. The record is from RefSeq and is a predicted model, not a curated record.
AUGCAGAUCCUUUCUGCAGAAGAGACUUCCGGGUUCAGAGGCUGUUUGUACCCGGCAAAAGUGACCUUCUCUUUUAGUUUUUGCUUUAGGGUAGAUGUGCUCACCAAAGAGACAAGGGGAAGAUGGAGAGGGAGGGAUGAAAUCACUGGGCGGGAUGGCCAUGUCACAAUCCCUUAUUCUCUAGGGAUUUGGGGCCCACAUGCCCUAAGUGACUUUCAAGUCACCGGCUUCGGGGCUAGAGCAGCAGAAUCGGUCACAGCCAGCCACGGAUGCAAUGAGCUUCUCUUCUCCCAUAUAUGUUCCGUGGCCACUGAAGUAAAAGGAAGAUGAGAAAACGGGCCUUGCAGAGAGAAUUUGGCUAAUGAUAUGUGACUGGAGCCCACGUGUGACCAAAGCCCUGCCUUCCUAACCAGGACACACUGCACUGCCUCACGUUCAGAGUGGGCGUCACCGGGGGAGGAGCCAGCCCCAUGCAGUACAGGUAAAGCAGCAACUGUGUCUGUCUGCCCUACGCCACUUACUGAAGCCAAAACCCGGCCCCUAGCUCGGAGACGUCGCAGAGGGAGGAGAAGUCAGAAAUGCCACCGUCCCUUCAGGCAGCGAGAGGAGAUCUUGCUCCUAACCCUCCCCAGGGAUCCGACGAGAAGGGCGCAAAGACCUGAGCUUCAGGCAGAGGGCCCCGAAGUCACGGCCACCAGACGUCAGGAGAGUGAGGCUCAGGGGACACACAAGACGCGGGAAGUAAGAAGGACGAGGUCACUAGGAGCUCUGGGGCUGGGACCAGGUGGACAAGAGCCCGGUUUUGGUCCCGCAGGCCACGUGGAGAGCCCUGAAGCCAGUCCCUGCGCCCCCGGGUGGCUCAGGUUC